This 231-nucleotide ribosomal RNA is filed under the name uncultured bacterium. RNAcentral describes it as "partial 16S ribosomal RNA". It matches the Rfam family "Bacterial small subunit ribosomal RNA", at positions 103 to 334 of the family's 1533-position model. The record is from RNAcentral.
CGGGUGCGUAACACGUGAGCAACCUACCGAAAUGAGGGGGAUAGCCGUCCCAACGGACGGGUAAUACCGCAUACGCUCGAGACCAGGCAUUUGGACUCGAGGAAACCUCCGGGGCAUUUCGAGGGGCUCGCGGCCUAUCAGCUAGUUGGUGAGGUAACGGCUCACCAGGGCGACGACGGGUAGCUGGUCUGAGAGGAUGGCCAGCCACAUUGGGACUGAGAUACGGCCCAG